RNAcentral lists this ribosomal RNA (301 nucleotides) under uncultured bacterium. RNAcentral's name for it is "partial 16S ribosomal RNA". It matches the Rfam family "Bacterial small subunit ribosomal RNA", at positions 509 to 807 of the family's 1533-position model. The record is from RNAcentral.
CAGCAGCCGCGGUAAUACGUAGGGUGCAAGCGUUAAUCGGAAUUACUGGGCGUAAAGCGUGCGCAGGCGGUUAUAUAAGUCAGAUGUGAAAUCCCCGGGCUCAACCUGGGAACUGCAUUUGAGACUGUAUGGCUAGAGUGUGUCAGAGGGGGGUAGAAUUCCACGUGUAGCAGUGAAAUGCGUAGAUAUGUGGAGGAAUACCGAUGGCGAAGGCAGCCCCCUGGGAUAACGCUGACGCUCAUGCACGAAAGCGUGGGGAGCAAACAGGAUUAGAUACCCCUGUAGUCCCUGUCUCUUAUAC